Molecule: non-coding RNA, 106 nt
Filed under: Rhodobacteraceae bacterium KLH11
Lineage: Bacteria; Pseudomonadati; Pseudomonadota; Alphaproteobacteria; Rhodobacterales; Paracoccaceae
Also listed under: 1 other name
Description: TPP riboswitch aptamer (THI element)
Rfam family: TPP riboswitch aptamer (THI element)
About the family: Vitamin B(1) in its active form thiamin pyrophosphate (TPP) is an essential coenzyme that is synthesised by coupling of pyrimidine and thiazole moieties in bacteria.
Source: Rfam by way of RNAcentral
AAACCUACCUCGGGGUGCGCAGAAGAUUGCGCUGAGAUGUUUUCAGACGAACCCGUUGAACCUGAACCGGCUAAAACCGGCGGAGGGAAAGGUGAAGGUUUCAUCG